GCCUACGGGACGCAGCAGUGGGGAAUAUUGCGCAAUGGGCGAAAGCCUGACGCAGCGACGCCGCGUGAGGGAUGGAGGUCUUCGGAUCGUAAACCUCUGCCCGCAGGGAAGAACGGUCACUGUGCUAAUCAGCAGUGAAUUGACGGUACCUGCAAAGGAAGCACCGGCUAACUCCGUGCCAGCAGCCGCGGUAAUACGGAGGGUGCGAGCGUUAAUCGGAAUUACUGGGCGUAAAGCGCUCGUAGGCGGUAUGUCAAGUCAAGGGUGAAAUCCCCCCGCUCAACGUGGGAACUGCCUUUGAAACU
RNAcentral lists this ribosomal RNA (305 nucleotides) under uncultured bacterium. RNAcentral's name for it is "bacterial SSU rRNA". It matches the Rfam family "Bacterial small subunit ribosomal RNA", at positions 337 to 634 of the family's 1533-position model. The record is from RNAcentral.